RNAcentral lists this unclassified non-coding RNA (20 nucleotides) under Mus musculus (house mouse). RNAcentral's name for it is "oocyte_clustered_small_RNA12577". Lineage: Eukaryota; Metazoa; Chordata; Mammalia; Rodentia; Muridae. The record is from RNAcentral.
ACUCCUGGGCGCCCUGAGUG